RNAcentral lists this long non-coding RNA (12400 nucleotides) under Homo sapiens (human). RNAcentral describes it as "non-protein coding SGMS1-AS1:22". The record is from RNAcentral. Lineage: Eukaryota; Metazoa; Chordata; Mammalia; Primates; Hominidae.
AUCUUCCGCCCGGCCAUCGGGCCGCGGGCGCUCGGAACCGACCUGGGAGCUGGCGGGACCGUCCUCCCCCGCCACGCCCUCCCAUCGGGCUUUGGGCGCCGGACUCUGGCCACCGCUCGGCACCUGCCUCCGCCUCGCCUUGGGGUAUAGGAGUCCUGUACCGACCCCUGGCUUGCCCAGAGGACAGGUUCUCGCCCGGGCCAGAAGCAAACUGCGGCGAAAUCGAGACAACAGAACUCAGAGUCACUCUGUCACCCAGGCUGGAGUGCAGUGGCACCAUCACAGCUCCCUGCAGCCUUGACUUACAGGGCUCCAGUGAUCCUCCACCCUCAGCCUCCUGAGUAUCUGAGACCACAGGUGCAAGCCACCAUGCCCAGUUGUAGCAAGGAAACCAAAAGGUAUAAACAUUCACUGAUUGAAAAACAAUGUCAUAAAGUCAUCCCAGUAUCUGUGAGGAGUUGGUUCCAGGACCCCUGAGGACACCAAAAUCCUCAGAUGCUCAAGUCCCUGAUAAAAAAAUAAAAGCAGUGGUGCCCUCGGGUUCAAAAACCUGAACGGUGGUCUUCAGUUGUUCCCCCAAGCUCCUCUAUCAGAGGCCCAGACACUCCAAGAGGCUGGGAAGAGGCAAGUGGCUUUCCCUGACUGGCAUCAGACUCCUGGAUGGCUGUGUUUCUGCAUACUCCACCAUCAACAAUCAGAAGGGCACUGCUUUCUUCAAGAAGGGGACCUUGCAAAGAACUGUCUCAGAUGGACUAUCUUUGAGUUCAUCUUGUUCUGAAUGUGAGUCUGAGUCUUUGUUUCCAGAUGACACAGUGCUGUCUGAGUCCUCUGAAUCACCUGCCUCAGAGCUGCAGCAAAGUUUCUGCUGCCCAGAAACUGAAUGGGCUGCUUGUAAUGCAGAUUCUUCCUCCUGGACAAGAAGUGCUGCUGCUUCUAGUUCUUCCAGUUCUAACCCCAACUGGGCCUUUGUAAGGGAGACUUCCUUUAAGGCUUCUGCAAGAGCUGCCAACGUUUUGGAUUUGACUUUCUGAGUCCACACACAGUAGUAUGAGAUGUAGAGAUCAUUCAGUAUGUAUGCUGGGUCGUUUUCCUGAAAAAUUUUGUGAAUAUCCAGGAGACACUUUAAAACUGCACUUUUACUUAAUUGCAGUAUCUUUAUAGUCUCCCCGUAGGCCUUCAUCGCCAGUUUGAAAUGGCGAUAGAGCAGGUAACACAAUACCCUUCUUCCAAAAGACACCAUGAUAUCAUGAACAUUAGUCCAAGUCUCAAACCAGCAUAGUAUUGGACUCAAGUUUCGUGAUAUUCCAUGCAGAUUCAACGUUCUUGUCUCCUUCAGUGACACGGGUUUCUUAGCAAUAUGCCAGAAGGAUAUCAAUCGAACUGUAGUACACUUGACGACAGGCUCUGUUGUCUAGCAGAUAAGAUUUAUUGACAAAUUCUUGUAGCUGAUAUUUCUCUUCUUCAGAAAAAGACACUAAUGCAGCAUGAUUUUCUUGCUUCUGACUCUUUUCCAAAAAGGCCGUCAUUUUUUAAUAUUUGUCAGUCCACCAAGGAUUAUACUUCAAAAUCUGUUCAACUGCCUCAUCUUCAAAAAAGUCAGCUAGAUAAUGAUCAGGAUCAAACUUGGCCAGCUCGGCGGCCAGGUGCUUUUGUUUUCGUUCUGCUGCAGGGAUGAAAUCUGGAUCCUUAAUAACAUCACUCAAUUCAUCCUGUAACUGCUGAAACACUCCUGAUCGUAAGUUUCCAAACCCAUAGUGGCAUGAGGAUUCAAAGCACUUUCUGUUACCUCUUCAUAGGGUGUCUGCUCAAUUUCCCAAUCAAACUCUUCAUCGUCAACUACUUCCUCAGGAAUUUCAGAAUCACCUAUUGCUUCCACAAGUGGUUUUGCUGUCCCGGAUUUUCCUGGUGCCAGAAGAGCAACACAUGUUCAGCCCCUCAAAAUGCUGGCCAGGGGUUUCUCUGGGCAGGCGAGUGGUAAAAAUUCCUUUAUCUGCAUCAUAGGACCCUUGCUCGCUUCCGUAUCCAUAUUCUACAAUUCUUCCAGGAGGGGUUAAUCUGAGAAAGUACGGCUUGGCAUAGUAGUCUAGGCCGACCCCUCGAAGUAGACGUUGAACUCGGAGGCCGGGGCAUAGGGCACGCGGAUGGCGAUGGUCAGGAAAUCCGGCUCCUGGCUGAGGCUGAACGCCGGGGUCAGCAUCGCGGCACCAGACGCAGGGGCCAGCGCGGCUCGCCCUCGCUGCCGCGGCGGUCCCACCAAGCAACUCUCUCCAAUUUUACCUUUUUAAAAUAAAAGAUGUCUGGGCCAGGCGCAGUGGCUCACGCUUGUAAUCCCAGCACUUUGGGAAGCCGAGGCGGGUGGAUCCUGACCUGAGGUCAGGAGUUCAAGAUCAGCCCCGCCGACAUGACGAAACUCCGUCUCUACUAAAAAUACAAACAUCAGCCGGACGUGGUGGUGGGCGCCUGUAAUCCCCACUACUCGGGAGGCUGAGGCAGGAGAAUCACUUGAACCCGGGAGGCAGAGGUUGCAAUGAGCCGAGAUCAUGCCACUGUACUCCAGCCUGGGUGACAGAGUGAGACUCUGUCUCAAAAAAAAAAAAAAAAAAAAAAAAAAAAGUCUGUCUUCCAGGACACAGAAGCCUCCUAUACACACAUUUUGGCACUUGAUUAUGUUAUGUCUUUUACAGUUCUCUGCAUGUUUCUUGCAGGUAAGUCUUGAUUCUUCAAUUACAUAUUAAAUUUCUAUUGAGGAUAUAUAUCUAGCUUUCAUCUUUCAGAGUACCUAGCAUAGGACUUGGCACCAAGUAGCCCAUAGUAAACAGUUAUUCAACCAUAAUGUAUGAUUUUCUUUUCUACUUUUCACUGGUAUGUUUUUGUUUAAAAAGGGUAAACCACCAGGGAUGGAAAUGUCCUUGCUAUGUUAUCCUUCUUCUCUAAUUAGCAACCACCCUUCACAAUCUGCCACAUUACAUUUAAAAAGGAUUUUCAAAUUAGACAUUUAUGCCUGGGCAUUAACCAGGGACUGAUGAAUCAGUGCCAUCAGCAGAACACUGCCCUGACUGGCAGACAUGGCACCAUUGUCAAGACUUGUAAUUUACUCCUGGCUUUUCAAAUAGUCAGUGUGUAACUCCAGGCAAGGUUUAAUUAUCUCCUGUUAAAAUGGGAAUAAUAUGACCCACCCCCACUUUGCUUCCCAUGGGUAUCAUGAGAAUUAAUUAAUUAUUGAAUAAGAAUAUAUGUCUAUAAAAUAUUUUAUAGUUCAUUAGAGGUAAACAAAUGCAAACGUAAGAUAUUGUUCAAUGUAUUAUGAAUGUUCAUUGUUGCUGUAUUUAGUACAAAGUACCUGUAUUAUAUCAACAGUGGUAGUACACAAAAUAAUGAAUACAUGUUGGGUCAGCACCUCCUCCAAUUACCACUUGCAAACAAGUCCUGGAUGGCCAGAACUAAUUGGAAGGUUGAGACAAAAAUUAUAUCUCGCACACUAAAGAAGGGGAGAUUGAUACAGCGCGCUCACCUAAAUUUCGUAGUGCCUUCAUGAACUCUUCAAAAGCUUCAAAUCUAGGCUAGGCUACAGGAAGAACAGCAGCAACUGAAGACUGGCACCUUUUCUGGAACCUCAGCAGCACCUUCCUUGUUUCGUAAGAUUUCGAAGAAGCAUAUCAAAAUUCUUCCACCCAUUCCUUCACAGUAUAAUAGGAGAAAACAUCUAUCCUCCGUUGACACCUGGAAGAAUGAGAUUCCAACUCACUCCAGGACAUGGCCAGAAAAAUUCAACAAAAGAUUUGCUAAAUCCUCUGCACUAUUAUCUAGACCAGGAUUUCUCAACCUCAGCUCUGUGGACAUUUGGGCCAGAUAAUUCUUUGUUACCAGAGGCUGUCCUGUACAUCAUCAGGUGUUUAGCAGCAUUCCUGGCCUCAACCAAAUGGAUGCCAGUAGCACCUCCCCCACCCACUUGUGACAGCCAAAGAUAUCUCCAGACAUUGCCAAAUGUCCCCUGUUAUGGAGAAUCAUCCUCAGUUGAGAAUCACUGGUUUAGGCAAUGAUCAAAGUGGGGCAACUAAAUCAAAAGGCACUGCAAUCUUAAGUUGAUCAAGCAUCCUUCUUUGAAAUCACUCAGCACUUUCAUAUAUUGCAUUUAUAUCUUAGGUAUUCAUAUUCUAACAAUUCAGCCAAUGUUUUUUGAGUUCGCAAUGGACAAGGUACAAGAUCAAGUAAGUAAUUCUGUGUAUCCAUAAAACAGAAAUGGAUAUGGUAUGUCCCAGUUCUCCACAGUAGGCAUUUAUGUUAUUCCCAUCCCAAUAUUUAGCCCUGAUCAGGGUUGUCAAACAUUGCAUGGGACAUACUUAUCCUAAAAAAUUAUUCAUUAUUUAUCUGAAAUUGAAAUUUAACUGGAUGUCCUAUGUGUGUGCAUGUGUAUGUUUGUUUGUUUGUUUCUUUUUCUAAAUCUGAUUACCCUAUCCUAACAGACUCAAGGUUUUUUCCCUGUUCCACAAACUUUAUGACUUGACUUCAUUAAAAAUAAUAAAGAGGAAUAACUGCAAAGGCUUUAAAAAUGCUGUUAGAAUGAGUAGCACAACUGAAUUUGAGGAUACAUUUUCUUUGAAGGAUGUCUAUUUUCCUACUGAAAAUAGUGGCAAACUCCUUAGAACUCAUUCAAAGCCUGAUGGGAUUCAUUGCCUGAUUUAUUUAAAAACACUUCUGAUGCUCACAGACUAUUUAUCAUUUACACAGCAAAUGAUGUUCUUCUAGUAUUCUUGUUGGGUGAGUUAGCAUUGUGGAAGGACAUAGAGGAGAAUCAGACACAAACUUCUUAUAACCUCAUAAACAGGAAGAAAGGGAGCAGAAGCAUAGACUGACUUUACUUUCACUCAGCUUACCUUCCUAGUUCUCCAGGUGUGGUCCUCAGAAGAGGAAUAUCAUGUGACCUGGGAACUUGCUAGAAAUGCACAUCCUUGGGACCCACCCCGGACCUACUGAAUCAGAAACUCUGAGAGUGGGUCCUAGCAACCAGUGUUUUCACAGGCCUUCCAGGUGAUUCUUCCGCAUGUUCGAGUUUGAGAACAACUGCUUUAGAGCCCUGGUUCUUGACCCUGGCUACAGGGUAAAACACCUGGGGAGUUUUUAAAAUACUGAUGCAUGGGGUCCAUUCCAAGGGAGUCUGAUAUAAUUACUAUGGGGUGCAGCCCAGGCGUAAACAUUUUUUAAAAACUCCUCAACCAGAAUAACGGCUCUACAGAAAUUUUAUCAAAUGCCAAAGAAAGAGUUCCUUAUUUUGCAACUAUAGUGCUUUCUACUCUGGCCCUAAUCAACUUUCAUAAAGGCAGAAUGGACAGACAUUACGUGUUUUAAUUUGAAGACUACCAAAAGGCCGGCCAUUAAACUAGGUAUAUGGGCUCGUCCUCAAAUCCCUAAAUCUACUCCUUAGGACCUACUAUAGCCAGUGUCAUAUAAUAGAAAAGUCACUUAUUGUCCACCAGACCCUGCCCUAAUAUUUGAUAACCUCUUGGGGCCUCAUUUUCUUGUGUCUACACUGGGGAUGAUAUUAACUCUUCACAGGAUUUGGGGAAUUAUAAAGAAAGACCAUGUAGUAAAGGCAGGAAGAUCAAUAAUCAAUAAUCACAUCAGAACCUGAAGGGACUUCGUACCAUUGAAGUGAGGCAGAGGAGAGAGAAAUUUAGAAGGACAAAUUCACAAAUUUCAAUGUGUUUCUAUAAUAACUACUUAAAUUAUUUUCUCUUUGAAUUGCCUCACUGUUGUGUGUGUAUGUCCCCACUCCCACCUGUCCCAUUAUUUUCCUGUUUUCACUUGUACCUUGGCAACCCAUCUGUGGUUUUGGCCAAGCUGUUUUAAUGGCAUUGAACCUGGUAGUUUUUUUAAAAGAGUGUGGUAGUAGUUAUAUAUGGCUCGAUAACUCCUGGGGCUACAACAAGGUUAAUGCGACAGUUUUUGUUGUUUAAAAAACAUGCUUGUCUGACAAGUCAAUCAUUUUAAGCCCCUUGUUCACUUCAGGAUGGUUGCUAAAGGCUUCUCUGUGAGCUAAAAGCUCUCGCUGUUAAGGGGCUGCCUGCCCUGACUGUAUGCAUUAAAUGGAACAGUUCUCUACAUGGUUUCUUACUACAGAUGCCUUGGGAUAUAUGGACACUGGCAUUACCUGCUGCAACAGGUCCUCUCCCAGGGUACUGCUGAGACCUAAGGGCUUAAAUGCUCACCAAACCAAGUGACCUUGGAGGGCUGGUCAUGGUGGGCAUCUGGGAGCUGGGAAAGAGCAUUGGAGAACUUCAUAGGGAAACCUAGUAGGCAAAAAUGAAAGAACCCAUAAGGGCCAUUGGCAUGAGCCAUAGCUAAAGGCCACUGGGUUAGCUCUCAAAGAAAACUGCAAGAUUGAAGCAUAAAUUCCUUCAUCAUGAACCAGAAGUCAUGGAGUGGAGCCAGGGGCAAGAAAGAGAAAGAUGAAGAGGUAGAACCACCAGGAUAAAGGUGCCAAGAAAAACAGUGAGAGCAACACUCAGGGAACCAGAGACAGGAACACAGCUGGGAACUAGGAGGAGAAACCACCACAGCUGGAGCGCAAAGUGGCCAGGUCAGAAAAGCCUCAUGGAAUCCUGGUUAACUGAAUGUUUCUAUUGACUGAGGCCACUGCUUAAGCCCUGUAUUCUUUUUUAUUUCAAUCCCCAUGGUUAGAAAAAUAGUCCUAAAAUGGGUUCAUACCCUUUCCUAUCCUGCAAGAUCUUAAACAUCACUAUCUUUUCCUGCAGUAGUUAAAAGCAUGGGCUUUGGAAUCAGAAACUGGGCACAAAUCUGAGCCCUGCUACUUAUUAACUGUGUAACAUUGGUCAAAUGAAUAAACUUCCUGGAGCCUCAGUUUCCUUGCCUGUAAAAUGUGAGUAACAAUACCAACUUAUUUUCAGGUUGUGAGCAUUUCUCCAUAAUAAUCCACAUAAAACACUUACCAGAGCCCUUGGCAUACUGUGUGAGCAUGUAAUAAUGUUAGCUGUCAUUCCAAGACAACAUGUUGGAAUAAUCUACUUUUUCCAUCACUAUAUAUCUCAUUUUCCUUCUUUUUCUUCUCCCUCAAACCUGUCCCCAUUCCAACAGAUGUUUUGGCCUGUGUUCCUAGCCUCCAGUGACAGCAGAAAGCCUGUUAGAUUUCCUGCCUUUGUUUCCCAAAAUUUGAGCCCCAAGAAACUGGGACAAGAUAUUUUCCUGAGACAAGAUAUCUCAGGAAGGGGAAUGAGUGGAGCUUCUUUUCACCCCACACUAGAAAGCCAUUCUGUUUAGAAAAAGGAGACGGAAGGGAAAGAAAAGGGUGCUAUACCAGUUUUCCAGUAUCACCGUCAGGGAGAAAGCAAGGCCGGAGAGUAUCUGGGCAGAUGUAACUAUAAGCAGCCUAAUAAAGGUUCCCAAGUCCAAACCAUGAAUCCAAACGGCAGAGCUGCCAGACAUGAAAGGCCUUGCUGCCCUUCCACCCCACAAUACUUCACCUCUGGAAGCCUUGACAAUUCCAGGGAGUAUUUGCAAAACCCUGCCCCCACCCAAAAUUUUUAAAAUACUGCAUAUGAGUGAGUAAAAUGAUGCCGAGAUUUUUAAAAGGACAAGCUUACCAUCAGAUAGGUAGAAUGAGUAGUAGUGGCAGCGGUGGUGGUAGUGAUAUAGAGAUAAAAGAGUUAAGUGGAGUUACUGAAAUGUGUAGUUAUAUUUCUCACACUCUGGUGUUUGUGGAUUUGUGGGCUGAGAUUCUUAUCAAAUUCCGGAACUUGCAAUGUCUCAAGGUAAUUGUUUAAAAUAUUAAUUGUUUUACUCACACUGCAAAUGUUGAUAUAGAUGCUGGGGUGGAGGUGGGGCAAUAGGCCAGAAUAAGCCCAAGAAUACCUUGGAAUUUGCUGAAUUUCUUUCUUUUUGCAUAAUCUUAUUCACACAUUAACAUAAUAUGAACCACUCUGGCUCCAUGAGCAGCACAGAAGAGACUUUCUGCAAAUGUGAUUAUUAGGGCAAAAGUUAGGAGAUUUUUUGCCCCCAGCUUUUCUCCUCUCCUAAAAUCUUUUUUUUUUUUUCAUUUCUUUGUCAGUGUCUUUAAUUUUUUUAGCUGCAUUUAAAAGGCUUUCUAUUAUUUCUGCAUGAGUAAGAGCAUGUGUCAUGUCAGCCUCCUUGUCAGCUUCUGUUUCACUUUCAUUAAAUUUGUUGAUUGAGUGUAAAGAAGGAGGCACUGUCAUCAUUUCCAGAUUUCAUAGCUGUAGGUUAGAUCUCUCUCGGAGCAAUGCCAUGAUUACUGCUGCAAUUUUGUAAUGGAGCCCUGGAGAGACAGGGAUGAAACCAGGGAAGGCUCCUUAUCCCUUUCGUGGGUCCAGGGAGGCAGAAAGAGAGGGGAGGAGGAUGUUUCUGUUUCACCUCUAUUCAUUCAUUCAUUCAUUUGCUUCACAAAUAUUGAGCACCUCCUGAGUGACAGACACUGAUUUGGGUGCUGGAAAGCAUAAGCAGCCCUGGUGCCUGUCCUCACAGAGCCUAUGGUCUGCUGGUGAGACGGACUUAAUCAGAUAAACACACUAAUGAAUGUAUAGUUGCACCAACAGAUCCUCAUUUAAUUGAGCUGGACUAGGACCUAGGCAUCAGUAUUUUUUUUAUAAGCUUCAUAGGUAACUCUGCCAGGCCUGGGAAUCACUGGGCUAGACCAUGCAAGUUCUAAUCAUAUAGGCUCUACUCAAGCAUUAAGCAUUUUGAUUUUAUCUUUCAAGCUGUGGUGAAAACGUUACUGAAGAGAGGUGAUAUAGUAAGAUGCUCACGGUUUUUAAAAUUAAGCUUUUUUAUUUUGAAAUAAUUAUAGACUCAUAUGCAGUUGUAAGAAAUAAUACAGGGGAAUCCCAUAUAUCCUUUAUCCAGUUUCCCCAAUGGUAACAUCUUGCAAAACUAUGGUACAAUAUCACAACCAGGAUAUUGACCUUGGUGCAGUCAAGAUAAAGCAUUUUCAACACCACAUGAAUCCCUCCUGUUGUCCUUGGAUAGCCCUCCCCACUUUACUCCUGGUGACCACUAAUAUGUUCUCCAUUUCUAUAAUCUUGUCUUUUCAACAGUUAUAUAAGUGGAAUCAUAUAGUAUAGAACCUCAUGGGAUUGGCUGUUUUCUCUCAGCAUCAUUUUCUGGACAUUCAUUCAGGUUGUUUCACGUGUCAAUAGUUUGUUCCUUUUUAGAGGGCUGACUAGCGGUGUUCCAUGUAUAGGGGUGCCAUAGUUUGUUUAACCAUUCACAUGUUGAAGGACAUCUGGGUCUGCUCCAAUGUUCAGAGAUUUUAAAUAGAGCUGCUAUACACAUUUGUGUAUAGGUUUUUGUGUGAACAUGAAGUCUUUGUUUCUCUGGGAUACAUGCCCAAGUGUGCAAUUGCUGAGUUAUAUGAUAGUUGCAUGUAGAAACUAUCAUGCAUAAAGAAACUGUCAAACUAUUUCCAGAGUAUCUGCACCAUUUUACAUUCUCAACAGUAAUGUACCAGUGAUCCAGUUUCUCCUCAUUCUCAUCAGAAUUUAAUGUUGCCACUGUUUUUUAUUUCAGCCAUUCUGAUAGGUAUGUGGUAAUUGCUUGUUGUGGUUUGCUUUGAGUUUCUCUAAUGGCCAACGAUGCUGAACAUCUUUUCAUGUGCUUAGUUGCCAUCUGUAUAUUACCUUUGGUGAAGUGUCUCUUCAUGUCUUUGGCCUAUUUUCUAAUUGGAUUAUUAGCCUUAAUGUUGAGUUUUGAGAGUUUACUUUUAUAUUCCAAAUACUAGUCCCUUUUGUCAAAUAUGGGGUUUGCAAUUUUUUUCCCACUCUCCAAUUUGUUUUUUAUCCUGUUUACAGGGUCUUUCACAGAGCAAAGUUUUUUAAUUGUGAUGCAGUCUAAUUUAUCAGCUUUUCCUUUUAUGGACCAUAUUUUUGGUGUCGAGUCUAAGUCGUCUUUGCUGAGUCCUACAUCAUGAAGAUUUUUUCUUACUAAAAUUUGAUAGUUUUAAAUGUUCUCUAUUUAAGUCCGUGAGUUAUUUUGAGUUAAUUUUUGCAUAAGGUAUAAAUCUUAGGUUGAGGCUCACUUUUUAAUCUUAAGGAUUGCUCAGCAUCAUUUAUUGAAAAGGCUAUCUUCCCUCCAUUGAAUUUCUUUUGUACCUGUGUCAAAACAUCAGUUGCAUAUAUUUGUGUGUAUCAAUUUCUGGGUCUUCUGUUCUGUUCAGUGGAUCUAUGUGUCUAUUUCUCUGCCAAUACCAUAUAGUUUUGACUAUAGUAGCUGUAUAAUAAGUCUUGAAACCCUUGAAACCAGGUAAGACUGGUCCCUUUCAUAUUAGCCUUCCUUUUCAAAAUUGUUUUAGCUAUUCUAGUUCCUUUGCUUUUCUGUAUACAUUGUAGAAUAGUGUUGUCUAUAUCUAUUUUUAAAACUUGCUGGAAUUUUUUUUUAAGAGACAGAGUCUUGCACUGUUGGCCAGGUUGGAGUACAGGGGUAUGAUCAUAGCUCACUACAGCACCAAACUCCUGGGCUCUAGCAAUCUUCCUGCCUCAGUCUCCCAAGUAGGUAGAACUACAUGCAACUGCCACUACAAUCGUAUUUAAAAGUAAAGUUAAAAAAAUUUUUUUUGAGAGAAGAUCUCACUCUGUUGACUAGUCUGGUCUUGAACACCUAGCCUCCAGCAAUCCUCUUGCCUCCCAAAGCACUGGAAUUGCAAGAGUGAGCUACCAGGCCCAACCAGUAUGUUAUGUGUGCAGUUUUUUGUAGAUAUUAUUUAUUAUGUUGAGGAAACUCCCCUCUAUUGCCAUUUUUCUGAUAGUUUUUAAGAUCAUUCAUGGGUGUUGAAGUUUGUCAGAGUCUUUCUGUAUCCAUUGAUUGUUAUGAUCAAGAAUUUUUUCUUUAGCCUGUUAAUACGAUGUAUUAAAUAGCUUCAUUUUCAACUACUGAGCCAGCCUGAAAUAAACCUCGCUUGGUCAUGAUAUAUUAUUACAUAUGCUGCUGAAUUCUAUUUUCUCUUUUACUGGUCUUUUGGCUGGAGAGAGUAGGCUUUUGUUGGGGCUUUACUUGUACGUGCACAUUGUUAUUUCUGGGUUGUCAGCCUCCUUCUCUCCAAGUCUGGGAUAUAUGGGACAAAAACAUAAUCCAGGGAGCCCACCACCUUGUUAGACUUUGAGUCCCUAGAUCCCUAGGUGGUCUGGCUUCUUUUUUUCACCUUUGAAAAUCUUAUGUUUGUUUUAUACAUAAUGUUGAGAGUUUUUCGUUGUUCUUAGUGGCAGAAGUAUAGAAAGAUACUCCAUCUUCUCAAAAAUAGAAGUUCAGAUUAUGUUUUGAAAGGCACUGUAGGCAGGCCAGGGAAGGCUUGUAAAAGGCUACUGCACUGGUCCAGGUGAGGGGAGUUAGUCUGGUAGAAGGCUGUUUCUUCCACCAUUCUCCCCUCACAUUCCACUGCCCCAUUUGCAUGGAGCUGGGGUUCUACUACCCCAGUAGGGCAGCAAGAGAGAAGGAGCAGGCAAUAUCUUGGAGCAUUACACCAUGAUAAAGGGACACCAAUACCCUCCAGAUGCUAGCUGUUUCUUUCUAGAGCUUUUAAACAUUCUCCUUCAGCAGAAGAAAUAAGUCACUCCUGAAAGCAUCCUAACAAUGUGCAUUUCUCCAAAGUUUCCUUAACACUUCACAUUUAACAUGACUCCAGGUAUAAGCAACAUUAAACAAGUCAUAUCUUAUGUUACAACUUGAGUGAAACUUUAAUGAUGCUGAAUUUGCUAAUUUGCUCUGGUAUAAUGUAUUUCCUGUUUAUAAUCCCUUUUGGCUAAUAGCACUAAUCAACAGAAAACACUGACAGACUGCACAAUGGCAACAGUAAUUCUGGACAGAGAUAGUUUUAUUAUCUACAGAUGAAUCCAUGUUUCUAAAACAUUAUUUACUAUAAUGUAAAAUAUGGGUUGGGCGUGGUGGCUCACACCUGUAAUCUCAGCACUUUGGGAGGCUGAGGCGGGCAGAUCACCUGAGGUCAGCAGUUCAAGCCUAGCCUGGCCAACAUGGUGAAACCCCAUCUCUACUAAAAAUACAAAAAUUAGCCAAGUGCAGUGGUGCAUGCUUGUAAUCCCAGCUACUUGGGGGGCUGAGGUAGGAGGAUUGAUUGAACCUGGGAGGCAGAGGUUGCAGUGAGCCGAGAUCAUACCACUGCACUCCAACCUGGGCAACAGAAGGAGACUCUAUCUCAAAAAAUAAAAAUAAAAAUAAAAAUAAAAUGUAGUAGAUAAAGGUCAUAAUUUCUAUGCACCAAAGCUUUUAUAGGAGGCCUGUAUUUUAGCAAUCAACCUGUCCUUAUUCUGUUCAAAUUCAAGGGCACUUGAAUCACUUUAGAUGGUGUCACCUACAUUGGGAAGCAAUCACAGUAUAGAUAUUUUUUCUUAUUAUGUUUGCAAAAUAAACUUCACAAAAUUGUCUA